Molecule: ribosomal RNA, 697 nt
Filed under: Klebsiella pneumoniae
Lineage: Bacteria; Pseudomonadati; Pseudomonadota; Gammaproteobacteria; Enterobacterales; Enterobacteriaceae
Description: bacterial LSU rRNA
Rfam family: Bacterial large subunit ribosomal RNA
Source: RNAcentral
ACUAUCGUUAACUGAAUACAUAGGUUAACGAGGCGAACCGGGGGAACUGAAACAUCUAAGUACCCCGAGGAAAAGAAAUCAACCGAGAUUCCCCCAGUAGCGGCGAGCGAACGGGGAGCAGCCCAGAGUCUGAAUCAGCUUGUGUGUUAGUGGAACGGUCUGGAAAGUCCGACGGUACAGGGUGAUAGUCCCGUACACCAAAAUGCACAGGCUGUGAACUCGAAGAGUAGGGCGGGACACGUGGUAUCCUGUCUGAAUAUGGGGGGACCAUCCUCCAAGGCUAAAUACUCCUGACUGACCGAUAGUGAACCAGUACCGUGAGGGAAAGGCGAAAAGAACCCCGGCGAGGGGAGUGAAAAAGAACCUGAAACCGUGUACGUACAAGCAGUGGGAGCACCUUCGGGUGUGACUGCGUACCUUUUGUAUAAUGGGUCAGCGACUUAUAUUCUGUAGCAAGGUUAACCGUAUAGGGGAGCCGCAGGGAAACCGAGUCUUAACUGGGCGUUAAGUUGCAGGGUAUAGACCCGAAACCCGGUGAUCUAGCCAUGGGCAGGUUGAAGGUUGGGUAACACUAACUGGAGGACCGAACCGACUAAUGUUGAAAAAUUAGCGGAUGACUUGUGGCUGGGGGUGAAAGGCCAAUCAAACCGGGAGAUAGCUGGUUCUCCCCGAAAGCUAUUUAGGUAGCGCCUCGUGA